CCAAAGAGAACAAAGAAGAAAAAUGAAACUUGUCCAACCCAAUUACAUGAGGAUUGCGUAGAGCACCAGAGCCAUGGUUGAUGAAGCCUCAUAUGCUAGGGCUUCAAUGGAUUUCGAGGGAUGGGGUUAAGGUUUCGAAGAUUCUGAUGAGGGGGAGGAACGAAAUGCUUCGGAGGGAGGGGAGGGGGGAACCGAGUCUGGGAAGACGAGAGCUUCAUUUCUUAACUGAAUCGAAACGAACCGUUUCACUUCGUGCACACGAAGGCCCAACAGGGACUGCAUCUAGAAUAAUUCUAUAAAUAAAAAAAAGAUAAAAAAAUUCGGUAAACGGACUGAUCAGUCGCAUUACCCAAACAGAAAAGAGUGUCUGUGUGGAAACGAAGAGUACAUUUUUUUGGGUCUCUUGUGGAGGAAGUGGGAUUCAAUAAAAAGAACCCUAGCAUGCCCCCAACGUUUCUUUCUCCUCUCAACUACGCAUGAACCAAUCCUGCCCCAUGUCGGUUUCCAUCGCCGACUUACACUUUGGAGGCUGGGCUUGUGGCUAGUGCGUGUGUGGUGGUCAGAUCAGUGUUGUUCUUCUUCCUCGCUAUGAUUGUUGGCUUCUCGAUCGCUCGUAGAUCCCUCAAUGAAAACGGGAGAUGUCAGGGUUUUUCUUCUUUCUUGGUCUGAUUGCUGGCUUCUCGAUCACUUGUGGAUCGAUCAAUGGAAACGGGAGAAAUGGGUCUUGUGGAAUUGUUCGGCUAUGACAAAGAACUAAGUUUAAUUCCUCCCCCAGUAUCAUCGGAAAAUUGCGGUUGGCAAGAUGAUGAACGCGAGGACAUGACGGAAGAGGAAUACUGCUCUACAGGGAUCAAGUUUUGAAGACCGGUGGCUUUGAUGUUGACCGCAUUCCUGGUGUU
Long non-coding RNA from Juglans regia (Persian walnut), 899 nucleotides. RefSeq lists it as uncharacterized. The record is from RefSeq and is a predicted model, not a curated record. NCBI's taxonomy places the organism in Eukaryota, Viridiplantae, Streptophyta, Magnoliopsida, Fagales, Juglandaceae. The transcript has 4 exons.